This 3681-nucleotide long non-coding RNA is filed under the name Phaseolus vulgaris (common bean). RNAcentral describes it as "long non-coding RNA (PVUL_LNC001896)". Lineage: Eukaryota; Viridiplantae; Streptophyta; Magnoliopsida; Fabales; Fabaceae. The record is from RNAcentral.
AAAUCAGAGCAGAGAGAAGGGUCCAAUAAGAUUUUCUUGGUAUUAGGAACCUCAAACAAAAUCAAAAACUACCGACAUCUGAAUUGGGAAUUUGAGUAGAGGCCAAUAUUGUUCAGAUUUUUUCUUGGGAUACAUCAAAUAAGAUAAAAAUAUAAGAUAUCAUGAUAUUAUAUUUAUUUAGUUUAAAAUAACCUUAAGAUUAGGUGUUUUGUGAAAUAUUUAUAUAUAAUACAUAAUUUUUUUUAUUUUAUUUUGCGAGACACUUUGAGUUCAUAGCUAGAUUCUUUCACAAUUUUGUGCAUGAAUGGUUUAUCAGUCCCAAGUCAAAAUUGGCUGCCAUAAGAGGAUCUGUUUGUUAUUGAAUGCAAAGGUGAGUUGUGAUGGUGAUGGUGAUGGGUGAUAUGCAAAAUCAAAAUUUGGUGUUGCAGCUAAAGGUAUGGAAAUUUACAUGUUAAUUUCGUUUCAUAUGUUGUGACUGUUUGUGUCUAGUUCCAUCUUCUCCCCUUGCUCUCUUGUUUAAUGGCAUGGAAAAAGUUCUUACUUUUCUCUCUAAUAUGUUCAUUAUUUGCUACUCUUGUUAUCAUGUCUCUAGUUUAAUUUGUCAUGACUAGGUUACUCUUAAAAUUUGAUCCAUUUUGUUAUAUGCAUAUUUCAUGUAAUCUAUCUUUAGAAAAGAAAACAUUCUCUAUUAGAAGUAUACCAUACUUUUUUUGGUUUUUUUUUAUCAUCAUAGUGCUAUUUUUUUUUAAUUUUUCUUUUAUAAAAAUGAGUUCUUUUUUAAAAAAAUAAUCAUAUUUAGGAUAGUCAUGUCAAUGUGAAAUAGUACCUUGACACAAUUUUAGCCAUGUCAAUAUGAACUUAUGUCAACUUGACACAACUUUGAUAACGUUAACUUGAAGUUUUGCCAACUUGACACGACUUUUUACAUCAAUCUGAAAUCAUGUCAAGAUGACACGACUUUAGUAUUAAAUGUCUGAUGAUGAUGAAGUAUGUGAUCAUAUGUCUAAACUUUAUUUGAACUUAAUGUCAAAUUCUCAUUUUUAUUUGUCAUUACAAUUUUAUUUUAUUCAAAAAAAUGUUUGUGGUUGCAUAUGUAAAAAAGGAGAAGUGGGAAAUAGAAGACACAUUAAAGAAAAUCAUAGCUGGUGGAUGUAUACAUAAAAACAGGAUGUGACAAAUAGCAAACAUGUUUAUCCAACCAAAUGAGCCCAGACUUUUCAGUAACAUGUUGCAAAUAUAAAAAAGCUGGUGGCGAAUAACAUUAUUCUGUGUCAACCGAAUUAGCCAGGAAUUUCAAGAAAACGUGAUGCACAUAUAAAAAAUGGGCUGCAAAUAGUAAAAAUGUUGGCCGAAUUAAUGAACGAAAAUAGGGUGCAUAGAAAACGGGUGGCAAUUAGUAAAAACAUUGGGCCAAAUAAACGGUCCAGAUUAAAAAGAAAUAUAUGAGGUGUACAUAUAAAAAGCGUGUGACAAUUAGUGUAAAUGUUGGGCCAAUUGAGUAGGCCCAGAUCUUUUACAAAACUAAAACAAAAUGCUAUGUAUAAAAAAACAGGGGCACCACAUCGUCACUAAUUCACUUUUGCUUCCACGCUUCAAUUUCAAUUAAGCCCACUAAUUUUGAGUUACUCCAAAUGUGGCUAGUUAAUAUUCAAAAAGCAAAAUGGGACGCAUCAGUUGUUGUGCACAUUUUUGCAAAAGGCCUUUAUAAACAAAAGUGAGUUUGCCAUUAACUUUUUUUUUUACAAAUUUUUCUUCCAACAUAUCAAUUUCAACAUGCACCAAAUUUAUUACUAAAAUGACAAAAAUGUUUCUACGAAAUAAUGAAAAUGAUGACAAGAGAAUGUGGAUAAAAAAUACUUAUAAAAUUCUUUUUCUGGAAUACAUUUCCAGAUUUAUAUUUUUGGAACACAUUUUUAAAUUUUGAAAAUUCUUUUAUAGAAUGCAUUUUCAGAGUUUGAAAAAUUUGAAAGAUGAUAGUAUGCAAGUUGAAAUUGACAUGGUACAGGAAGAAGAAUUUGCCUAUGUUUUUUUCUAUGGAAAGUGAGUGAGGAUUUUUCUUUUGUUUUUUCAAAAUAGAUUAAUAUGAAAAGAGAGAUUAUAAAACUCUGUGAAUGUGGAAUGCAAGUGUGUAAAGGAAGAAGACGAAGAUGUAUGAUGAGAGUGUGGAGUUGCAAUAGACAUUACAGUGGAGAAGAAUGAGAGUUUUUAGAGGCUCCAAACCUCUUGCACGAAGGUUUUCAUGGAAUUAGCAACUAGUUUAUUGAAAACUGCCCUUGCCUGGGAAAUUUGGAGCUGAUACAAGAGUCUGAAUCAUUUGCAACACUCACAAAUAAAGCAGUGAUGCUGAUAACCAAUUACAAUUGAAGUGAUGUACCAAAUUUAUUAUUCUAUUAACGUGAUUAUAAAUCAGUGUGGAAGUUAACUCCAAAAAGUAUUAUAACCCCACUUUGGGUUAUGUUUUCAUCAUGAACAAUACAGGUUUAUAUAAUCUAGAGAGUAUACUGGGAUAGUUAGAUUUACAGGGAAGAAAAGGAAUUGAUCAUUACAAACAUAGUUUCUAGAUUAGCUCUAUCUUAUGAAAGAAAAAUAUGUGUUUUUGUUUAACAUCUUAUUUGACAUAUGUUUUGAAUUAUUUGAAUUAUGUACCAUAAUAUUGCAUUUCACAGUAUUAAUAUGAUCUUCUGCUGGUUUUAAGACCGUAUAUUUCUCAAACUCAGGAAAUUGGUAGGGAAAAUAUAUCUUUAAUUAUAGUUGAAAUAAUAUUUAUUAAGAAGUAGAUUUUAAGUCUAACUCAAUCUUAUAAAACUGAUUUAUAAAGUGACACUCAUUUAUAAAGAAUGAAAUAUUUUAAUCUCCAAUGUGAGAUCUUCAAUAAUCUCAAAAGUGUUUGUUCUUAUAAAGUUAGAUCUUGUCUAUCAAGUUUUCUCUGCACUACUCCUCCAGUCUCUUAGUCUUUCGGCUUAUUAGGAUAAGAUCAGAUCUUUUUUAUUAAGUUUCUCUAUCCUACUCCUCCAGUCUCUUAGUCAUUGAGCUUGGCGGGAUAAGGUCUGAUCUUGUCUAUCAAGUUUCCUUUGUCCUAUUCCUCCAGUCUCUCAGUUUUUCGAUUUGACAAGAUUUAUUUACAAAGAGAUAUUUCAACGAUAAAGUUAAAGGUGAAUAUAUUUAUUAUGUCAUGUACGUAAAAUCAAUACAGUGUCUAAUCUCAAACUUUUGAUGGAUUGGUAAUUUGCAUAUUCCUAUACUCUAAUUGUAACAUAAAUGGCGCAAAUAUAGUAUCCAUGUUCACUGAAGUCAGUUUUUUUUGCAUCUACAGUUAACACAGUUGUAGCAUAUACCUUUGCAAUGCCCUUUUCAAAAUUGGCUUCUCUUUCACUUUAGCACUUAUUCUGAUAUAGCAGAAAAAAUGUGUAAUAUUAUAUGAAAAAGAAGAAUUUAGGAUCUCACAAUCUCUCAAAUCAAGGUAUCUAAACUCCCCCUUGUACUUGCUAGAAACAGUUUUUAUUUAUUGAAUAUAAUAUACGAAUGGUGUUUCUGUUGAAGUGGAUGAAGAUGCAGAGUCUCUGAGAUAUUGAAAUUGCAGAGGAACAACAGAGAUGAAUGUAGCUUGAGUCAUUAUAUAUAUAGAAACUUCUGUAAAUAAACCAUUUUAUUAGUUUACUAUUUUUCUUUAUUUUUGUUGCU